GUCCCAUGCCUGCAGGGUGCCCAGCACCAUGUCCAGUUGCACGUUGAAGCUCACUACAGAUGGAGACUCUCCAGCCUCUCUAGGCAACCUGUGCCUGUGUUCUGCCACCCUCACAUUACAAAAAGUAUUUCUUUUGUAUUGAUUGAAUUUUAAAUUUUGAGCCUGGGGCCUCUGGGCCUGGCCCUGGGCACCGCUGAGCAGAGCCCGGCUCCGGCCUCUCCGCACCUCCCUGCGGGUACUGACGGCCAUGGGGGAGCUCCCCCGGAGCCUCCUCUGCUCCAGGCCCAGCAGCCCCAGCUCUCGCAGCCUCUCCUCACAGCACGGGGGCUCCGGGCCCGGCAGCACCCUGGGGGCCCCGGCCUGGGCUCUCCCCGCUGGACCCAGCUCUCUCUGUGCUGAGGGGGGCCCAGGACUGGUCCCAGCACUCCAGGUCUCCCCAAGUCACCCCAGC
Cygnus olor (mute swan) is the source of this 451-nucleotide long non-coding RNA. RefSeq lists it as uncharacterized. The record is from RefSeq and is a predicted model, not a curated record. Lineage: Eukaryota; Metazoa; Chordata; Aves; Anseriformes; Anatidae. The transcript is spliced from 3 exons.